AGAAUUAAGUCCCAGUUGUUGAAGAGGUGGCAGUCACCGACGUGCUCCUUCACCUGGAUGUUCACAAGUCCAUGGGGCCGGCUGGGAUCCACCCGAGGAUACUGAGGGAUCUGGCAGAGGAGCUCGCCAAGCCACUCUCCAUCAUUUAUCAGCAGUCCUGGUCAACCAGGGAGGUCCCAGAUGACUGGAAACUAGCGAAUGUGACGCCCCUCUACAAGAAGGCCUGAACCAAAAACUAUGAUGAGUUUCGGAUCCAGCCCUGAAUUCUUCCCCCGAGGCCCAUCUUUGCUUUGUAUGAGUGGCAGAAACAUUAUAUAUUUCUAGUUUUUAUUACCAGAGAAAGGUACUUUAUGUUGUGGAUAUUCAAUCUAUUGGUGUGACAGGAUGAUAUUGAUGAAGUGUGGUAAGAAACACUUCGGUUCUAAUGAUUUGAUUUCAUUUUGGUUUGACUCAUAUUUCAACACCCCCAGCUUUUAAAAGUAUGGGCCAUGUGAGAUGUAAAAUAUAUAUAUCGAUGUCGCUAAUCGGAAGCUCUUUCUGGUCACAUUGUAAAGCACACUUAAUCAACUUCUUUAAGAUCAUGUUACAGAAAGCUAUUAACUAUACUCUUAAAACAGUUAAAUAGUUAUAAAUAAUGUUUUAUAUUAUGGCUGACAACACCGAAUUGCCCAGCGUUUAAGGAAAUCUAAUCACAGGGCAUGCAGACUUUGCCUUCCAGUAAGAUGGCGUGGCAAAACAUUGGAACAUAUUAGAAAUCACAUAGUAUUGCUAACAUUUCCUAUUAAGGAGAAAGACUCUCUCUGUACAUUUUGGAUUUCUUUUCCAACACUUAAUUGCAGCUGAUGAAGAAAAGCUAUUCAAAAGCUGCCAGGAUUUUUAAAUCUGUAUGAGUGACAUUGAUGAAAUUUGUGGGUUUUCCCAAAAGAGCAUAGGUGAGAGCAGACAUGUAAAUUUUGUAUGUGUGUGGAUGUACGUGUGUGACAGAGAGAGGAGAGAGCAAGAGCUUACUCCUAAGGUGUGAGACUUGGCAGCGCUGCACUGUACAAUGGGCACAAGAAACCGCAUGUCUGUAAAUGACCACAUUUGAAUUGCUGUUAUUUCACUGGUGGGUUACUGUAUUGUUAAAGUGAAAAGGAAUGUUUGUAAUAAAUGCAAAUAAUGAAUUAAAUGCUUGCACAUA
Phalacrocorax carbo (great cormorant) is the source of this 1180-nucleotide non-coding RNA. The record is from RefSeq and is a predicted model, not a curated record. Lineage: Eukaryota; Metazoa; Chordata; Aves; Suliformes; Phalacrocoracidae.